UACGGGGGGGGCAAGCGUUGUUCGGAAUUACUGGACGUAAAGGGCUCGUAGGUGGCCAACUAAGUCAGACGUGAAAUCCCUCAGCUUAACUGGGGAACUGCGUCUGAUACUGUAUGGCUUGAGUUUGGGAGAGGGAUGCGGAAUUCCAGGUGUAGCGGUGAAAUGCGUAGAUAUCGGAAGGAACAUCAGUGGCAAAGGCGACUGCCUGGACUGAUACUGACGCUGAGGCGCGAAAGCGUGGGGAGCAAACAGG
Molecule: ribosomal RNA, 253 nt
Filed under: uncultured bacterium
Lineage: Bacteria
Description: partial 16S ribosomal RNA
Rfam family: Bacterial small subunit ribosomal RNA
Source: RNAcentral